UGAAGUCUUACACACAGCACAAAGAGCCAGCAUGUGUUCUCUUCUCAUCAUAUUUUCAGCCACACUAUUAUGCCUUGCAGGCUCCGCUGUCUGCUCUGUCAUCCAGAAUCCUCCUGAUCUCAUAAAGUAUCAAGACGAGUUUGUUGAGAUGAAAUGUGCACACACUGUAAAGAACUAUGAUCGUGUACUGUGGUACAAACACAGCCAGGACACAGGAUUUAAAUACAUGGGGUAUCUAAAUAAUGUUAUACCAAACCUAGAGGCAGAAUUUGAAACGAAGAUCAAACUGAAUGGUGAUGGAAGAAACAACAACACUUUGACUCUUAGCAGUCUGUCCGUGAGCGACAGUGCUGUGUAUUACUGUGCAGCUUAUCACACAGUGCUGUAGAUCAGCUCACUUACUUACAAAAACCUUCAUCUGAUCCACGUUACCCCAAAACCACAACACCUGCAGCUGUGGCUGGAUGUU
This is a non-coding RNA of Hemibagrus wyckioides, 469 nucleotides long. Lineage: Eukaryota; Metazoa; Chordata; Actinopteri; Siluriformes; Bagridae. The record is from the annotation of a RefSeq genome assembly.